This 343-nucleotide unclassified non-coding RNA is filed under the name soil metagenome. Its description in RNAcentral is "partial contains 5.8S ribosomal RNA, internal transcribed spacer 2, and large subunit ribosomal RNA". The stretch from base 1 to 120 matches the Rfam family "5.8S ribosomal RNA", at positions 35 to 154 of the family's 154-position model. The record is from RNAcentral.
GAUGAAGAACGCAGCGAAAUGCGAUAAGUAAUGUGAAUUGCAGAAUUCAGUGAAUCAUCGAAUCUUUGAACGCACAUUGCGCCCGCUAGUAUUCUGGCGGGCAUGCCUGUCCGAGCGUCAUUUCAACCCUCAAGCCCCCGGGCUUGGUGUUGGGGAUCGGCGGGCCUCCGCGCCCGCCGUCCCCUAAAUCUAGUGGCGGUCUCGCUGUAGCUUCCUCUGCGUAGUAGCACACCUCGCACUGGGAAACAGCGCGGCCACGCCGUUAAACCCCCAACUUCUGAACGUUUGACCUCGGAUCAGGUAGGAAUACCCGCUGAACUUAAGCAUAUCAAUAAGCGGAGGA